CUGUUCCCUUUUGAUAUUUUAUUCGGGGGAAUAAAGCCAUGCCUGUGUGAUUCUCCUACUGCUUCACACGUCAUGGACAUGGUAUGGGCCUCACUCAACUCUCAGCAAAUUCUACAUCACUAGAUUGUCAAACUUUUCUUAGACUUUACUCCACGCUGAUGUUCGAUCACGGGUUGUUCGAGCAGAUGAAACAUUCCCUUUUUAAAUGCUUUUAUAUGCACAGGCUGCAACUGUGGAGGGGGGCAAGAAGUUAAAACGGGAAUUCCAACCCUAAUUUUGCUAGAUUAGCACAGCAGUUUUUUACACAAUAUAAUAGCAGUUCAUAUAGUUCCAUUGCUAGUUCUUUCUUGGUGAUUAAUAUCACUGUUAAGCAAAGACAUGGUUUGAGACUUUUGAAAUCUUGGGGCCUUUCAACUUGUCAGUGGCAGUGCUCUCCAUAUUUCAACUUGACAAGAUCAUUUCAAUGAAGAGGGUGGUGGGCACAGUGAAAAGUGAGGUGCUUUUUAAUCAAGUAGGGAAGAUGAAAAUUCACAGGUCGCGUAUGUGCUAGCUGUCCAAAAACAUGUAAUGGGGUCAUCUCCCUAUCUUCAUAGGACCAGCAAAGGCAAACCCACCAUGGCUCCACCAAUCUAUAAUGUCUCUGCACAAGCAACCACCACUGAACCAUGAAUUUAUCUUAUCUCAUGCUUUUCCAGUCUUAUCCUGAAGUACCCAAAUAAGAACAGGAGCUUCAAGUGCAAUCAAGUAAUUCGGCAAUGUGAAACAAACUGCUGAGCAAUGAUCUUUCCCAAGAAGAGAACAAAAAGUCAUCUGAAGUUUCAGGUUUCCUUUCUGGGGGGGGAGAGAGAGAGAGAGAAAGAGAGUUUUAACCAACAAGCUAGCUGGCAGUAUAGCUAGCAAAAGUCAAUCAAGAAGCACUCAUUUUAGUGAAAGCUAGUUGAUUUCUAGACUCUAGGCAGAAGAUUAAAGGUAUCAUAAUAAAAGAAAAAUAAAUGAAUGAACAAACAGAAAGCAAAGUUAACAUUAAAUUGAAUGAAAUUUCAAUUUAAUGAGGGUCGACGCACGAAUAUUGAUUACUGAGUUCUAGUUCACUUGUCCCACUAAUUCUUCGGGCUGCUCUCCUUUCUCUUCCUGCCUUGUAUCCUGCCUGAUUCUUUUCUCUCCUAGUCCUACGUCAGCAUACCUGUAACUUUGGCAAGUACUGAGGAUCUAUUGUCUUUGCAUGAAUCUGGUUUGCAAACUGUUUACCCCGA
Molecule: long non-coding RNA, 1253 nt
Organism: Populus trichocarpa (black cottonwood)
Lineage: Eukaryota; Viridiplantae; Streptophyta; Magnoliopsida; Malpighiales; Salicaceae
Exons: 2
Source: RefSeq, a predicted model, not a curated record